AGGGAAUGACUAAUGCUUAAAGCCACGCAUUACACGAAGGUUUACCAGGCAGAGCAAAUAAAUGGUCAUCGGAGACAUGCUUUCAAACAGAGAUCUCUGUUCUUGGCAUGAAGGUUAAGGCCCCACAGAGGAGUUUGAAAUUCUUGCUUCAGGCCAUAUGGAGUGGAUAUUCCUUCCAGAAGGAAAUUACAGACCACUCUCUGUUUCUACUCAACUGCUUUUCACUCCGGGAUGCUUCACCUCUUGGGGCCUUCCCCAGCAGAGGCCCAGGAUCACCUGCAAAAGGCUUCCCCAAGGGUGGGGCCAGAAGCAGGGCUGCAGAUAUGUGUCCUGAACCUCCCAUGGACCCUGCUGGCUCCCUUCAAAGGCUUCGGGCAUAGCGACUUGCCUUUCCGUCUUGUUCAGUCGUCACCAGUCAGCCGUCUGCAGACUUCUCUCCCUCACGUUGUGGCAGAGGAGUUGUACAUUCUCUAGAUUUUAAAAAUAUAUAAGUUACUUUUUCUUUAAAAUAAAAAUUGUCUCUGAAAUAAG
This 531-nucleotide long non-coding RNA is filed under the name Homo sapiens (human). RNAcentral's name for it is "long non-coding RNA NONHSAT165454.1". The record is from RNAcentral. Lineage: Eukaryota; Metazoa; Chordata; Mammalia; Primates; Hominidae.